Molecule: long non-coding RNA, 1526 nt
Organism: Marmota monax (woodchuck)
Lineage: Eukaryota; Metazoa; Chordata; Mammalia; Rodentia; Sciuridae
Exons: 2
Source: RefSeq, a predicted model, not a curated record
UCAUAAUGGUAAACGACUUUCCACCUAAAGUCAGUGCUAAGACAAAGUUGCCUGCUUUGCCGUUUCUACUCAACACAGUAUUAGAGGGUCAAGCCUAAGCAAUUAAGCAAGAAAAAUAAAUAAAAAUGCACCCAGAUUAGAAAGUAAAACUCAGUCUAUCCACAGAGGGCACGAUGACAGAUUCAGAAGAUCCUGGAGAAUGUACACACGCAAACACUGACGUGAGAACAACACGGCAAGGUUGCAGGAUAUAAGAUCCAUGUGCAAAAAUCAGUUGUCUCUCUAAAAACGAAACCAAGGAGGCCGUUCCAUUAAUAGCUUCGAGAAGAAUCAACAUGCUUGAGAAUGAAUUUAACCACAAGGUGAAAGACUGAGCUACGGAAAACUAGAAAACACCCCUGAAAGAGAUGAAAGAAAACCUCAGCGAACGGAAAGACAUCCCAUGUUCAUGGAUCGGGAGACCAAACACGGGGAAGAGGCAGGACCUCCCGAGGAGGCCCACAGACUGGAGGCAGUCCCUGUCAGAAAAGGGACAAGUGGACCCUAUAAUGCAUACGGACUCUCAAAGAAGCCCAAGUGGCCAAAACAAUCUGGAAACAGAAGGACCAAGUUGGUUUGGGAGUCCACACGUCGAGACCUGUUACAGAGACCCAGGGAUGAGGCCGGCUGACAGACGGCAGACCCAGGGGUCAGGGGCAUGGACGUGGGAGCCCAGGAACAGGUCCACACACCUGUGACAUCUCUCCACCAGGUACCGGGACCAUUUGACGGAGGAAAGAAAACACUCUCCCUGAGAGAACUGGACACCCACGUGGAAAAGGAUGAAGCUGGACUCUAACCUCACACCACGUGGACGCUCCACAGGGAAAGGAGUUGGCCUCCUAUGUUCCAUCCUAGCCCUGCAGCACCCACAACAAUGUUGGGCUCCUGGGCGUCCACUGGAGUGGCGUGUGACCGGCACAGCCUGGCACAGGGUGCCCAAGGACACAUGCCCAUGCUGCCCAGCACGGACCCGGACCGCAAGACAAAGGGUCAUGGAAGUCCGCUGAAGGCAGGAGCCCAGCACUGGCCGAGCCCAACUGCCUCCCUCCAUGGGCACCUCUGGACCUUGCACACAGUAGGUGCUCAGUAAACACAGGUUUCCCUGCUCUGAUGUUUUGUUGCAAACAUCUGAUGGCUUUUCUCCUCGGUGCCCUGUGCAUGGACACUCCUGCAGGGCCGGGCAUGAAGCCCAGAACUGGGGUGAGGACAGAGAGGGACACAGCAGGGGACAGGGUGACCAUUACGUAACUCACAGAGAACAGCCACGGACGGGGCCACUGCAGGCCACCCGGCACCUCGUCCCCCACAGCCAAGCCUCUCCCGAUAGCCCAACCUUCCCUGGCCACCAGGGGGUCCCUCCCCUCCAUGGGAAACCAAGACCCCUCCCCUUCCCAGUCUGUGGCACCUUCUCCCUUCACAGCUCCACUGGCUUGUCACCUCUUUGUUGUCUCUGGUGACAAUUUAAACCUCACCUCCUUACUUGA